UGCGCAGGCGGCCUGCUAAGCCGGAUGUGAAAGCCCCGGGCUUAACCUGGGAAUUGCAUUCGAUACUGGCAGGCUAGAGUUUGGUAGAGGUAAGCGGAAUUCCGGGUGUAGCGGUGAAAUGCGUAGAUAUCCGGAGGAACAUCAGUGGCGAAGGCGGCUUACUGGACCAAAACUGACGCUCAUGCACGAAAGCGUGGGUAGCAAACA
Molecule: ribosomal RNA, 207 nt
Filed under: uncultured bacterium
Lineage: Bacteria
Description: partial 16S ribosomal RNA
Rfam family: Bacterial small subunit ribosomal RNA
Source: RNAcentral